GAAAAACCAAAUUUAUUAAUAAUUAAUAAUAACAACAAAACCCCAAGUACAAGCAGUAAUUAUGUAUGUAUGGCUGGAAUACAAGAUCAAAACAAGUUAAAUAUUCAACAUAACCUCCAACUUAAGGUCAAAUUAAGUGACCAAUGCACUAAAACGCCUCAACCACAAAACUGCUAUACCUCCUCACAGUAAAGAUUACAAACACUAAAGUCUAAAACUGCAAGGGAAACUACACUGAUAUAUGUUGGAGGUUUUUUUUUUUUUUUUUUUUUUUAAAUGAAUAUUUUAGCAACAUUCACUUUAAAGUGUAUUUAAUCACUUUUUAAUUGUAUUCUAGCAAAUCACUAAAAUAUCAGUGAAUAUUUAAAGUGUAUUUAAUCACUAAAAUACACCUUUCAUAAUGGUUGUAUUCUAGCAAAUUUCAUAUCCUAAGCAUGUUAAAUUUUAAAACUUAAUGUUACAAUUCAUCGGUUAGAAUUUAUUUUUUAAUUAAUCUUAACUGAGAAAAUAAUUAGCAGUGAAGAAUUAUUUUGACUUAUAUGUCUUCAUCAUCGGCUUCAAGCUGGCAGCAUCUCAAGCUCAUUCACUGAGAAAAUAAUUAGCAGUGAAGAAUUAUUUCAAGCUGGCAGCAUCUCAAGCUCAUUCACCGGCGGAGGUGACACUGCCGCUAAACGUCGCCACUUGAUAAAGACUUCAUAGAAAACCAAGACCAAGAGGCAGAGGGCUCCUAUAACCAAAACAAAUUCCAUAACUGCGGUGGAGAUCUUGAGAAAUUUGACGAAGCUAUCCAUUUGCUCGAUUUGGGGCGCACUAGUUUUGGAAAAAAUGCUGUAGAUGGUGAAGUGAUGAAGUGGUGAUUCUAAAAUAGUGAGUUUGAGAAAAGUUGAAGAAAAAGUUUACACGGUUCUUCUUUUCCAUUUUGAUCUAUGGAAUAUUGAUUUGAAGAAAGGAAGAGUUUGUUUUGUUUUUGCCACAAAAAAAGGAAGGAAGACGAGGGAGGGAAGGAGGGAGAUCACAUCAAGUAGCAAGCAAGCAAGUAGAUGCAUCACACUAACCCUAUGUUUAGUAUCAGUAUUUUUCGUCGUGAGUUUAUAACUUAUUUUACUAACUUAUAUUUU
This 1118-nucleotide long non-coding RNA is filed under the name Trifolium pratense (red clover). Its description in RNAcentral is "long non-coding RNA (TPRA_LNC002602)". Lineage: Eukaryota; Viridiplantae; Streptophyta; Magnoliopsida; Fabales; Fabaceae. The record is from RNAcentral.